AUUUAAAUUAAAGAAAUUUCAUAUUACUAUUUAAAAACUAAAUUUCUACCAAGAUUUAAAAUACAGUUUAUUCGCACCAGUUUAAAACGUAAUGCAUAAAAAACUUAGAGAGUAAGAUUUCUACAACUAGAUUUCUCUAGAGGAAUUUCAUAUUACUAUUUAAAUUUUAAAUUCAAUGAUUUAAAAACUAGAUUGAACCCAUUGAUUUGACUGAUCAGACUUUGACCUAUUCUAUCAAGAAUCUGAUUUUAACCUAUUGAACCGAAUAACAUUAAGAACAAUUUGGAACCGGUAAAGAUAAUAAAUAUUUUAAACAAAAUAAUAAUUUAACGGUUAGAGCUAAUAAAUAUUUUAAAUAUAAUUUUAAACAUAUAAAUUAGAAAGAUUAGAAUUAUUGGUGAGAAAAAAAUAGUUAGGAAUUUGAAUUCGAAUCUGACUAACAAUCACAAAACUUAUUUCCGAACUCGACGGAUUUCAAAAAUCCAUAUCCAAAUUCAAAACUGACCAAUUUUCCGAACCCAAAACCAAAUCUAAACCAGAAGACUAGAAUUCAAACAAUUAUAUCUAUUUACCAUAUUUCAAAGUAUUUAUAUGAAAUUUAAACUAGAGGAAUUUCAUAUUACUAUUUAAAGUUUAAAUUCAAUGAUCAUAUUGUCACAUUAUUUGAAAAUUUUCUUAUAUGAAAUGCCAAAUUAUGAAAUCGAAAGGAAAGAUAGAGAGAGUAAAAGGAAACAAAGAAAAAAUAAAAAUUUUGAAAAUAUAGAUAUAAAAUGAUUAAAUUGCCCAUAUAUUAAAAGACAAAAAUAUCCUUUUUUGAGGUACCUGGUAACCGGUACCUCUCCCAAAGUGACCUGCUAUUGCAGGUCACAAUUUAAAAAAAAUUAAAUCUGAGUCGUUGAAUACGCGUGAAUGAACGGUAACCAAAAAAAAAAUAUAUAGAAGCAUUACUCAAAAGUUAUUCUCUAUAAUUUAGUUCUCAUAUCAAACAUAG
Molecule: long non-coding RNA, 991 nt
Filed under: Ananas comosus (pineapple)
Lineage: Eukaryota; Viridiplantae; Streptophyta; Magnoliopsida; Poales; Bromeliaceae
Description: long non-coding RNA (ACOM_LNC014715)
Source: RNAcentral